GACGAACGCUGGCGGCGUGCUUAACACAUGCAAGUCGAACGGAAAGGCCCUGCUUUUGUGGGGUGCUCGAGUGGCGAACGGGUGAGUAACACGUGAGUAACCUGCCCUUGACUUUGGGAUAACUUCAGGAAACUGGGGCUAAUACCGGAUAGGAGCUCCUGCUGCAUGGUGGUGGUUGGAAAGUUUCGGCGGUUGGGGAUGGACUCGCGGCUUAUCAGCUUGUUGGUGGGGUAGUGGCUUACCAAGGCUUUGACGGGUAGCCGGCCUGAGAGGGUUACCGGCCACAUUGGGCCUGCGAUACGGCCCAGAAUCCUACGGGAGGCAGCAGUGGGGAAUAUUGCACAAUGGGGGGAAGCCUGAUGCAGCAACGCCGCGUGCGGGAUGACGGCCUUCGGGUUGUAAACCGCUUUCGCCUGUGACGAAGCGUGAGUGACGGUAAUGGGUAAAGAAGCACCGGCUAACUACGUG
Molecule: ribosomal RNA, 468 nt
Filed under: uncultured bacterium
Lineage: Bacteria
Description: partial 16S ribosomal RNA
Rfam family: Bacterial small subunit ribosomal RNA
Source: RNAcentral